UGAACGCUGGCGGUAUGCUUAACACAUGCAAGUCGAACGGAAACGAUACUAGCUUGCUAGUAGGCGUCGAGUGGCGGACGGGUGAGUAACGCGUAGGAAUCUGCCUGAUAGUGGGGGAUAGCCCGAAGAAAUUCGGAUUAAUACCGCAUAAUCUAUUCGUAGUAAAGUGGGGGACUUUCGAGCCUCACGCUAUCAGAUGAGCCUGCGUAAGAUUAGCUUGUUGGUAGGGUAAAAGCCUACCAAGGCGACGAUCUUUAGCUGGUCUGAGAGGAUGAUCAGCCACAUCGGGACUGAGACACGGCCCGAACUCCUACGGGAGGCAGCAGUGGGGAAUAUUGGACAAUGGGGGCAACCCUGAUCCAGCAAUACCGCGUGUGUGAAGAAGGCCUGAGGGUUGUAAAGCACUUUCAAUUGUGAAGAAAAGUUAGCGGUUAAUAACCGUUAGCCUUGACGUUAACUUUAGAAGAAGCACCGGCUAACUCCGUGCCAGCAGCCGCGGUAAUACGGAGGGUGCAAGCGUUAAUCGGAAUUACUGGGCGUAAAGCGUGCGUAGGCGGUUUAUUAAGUCAGAUGUGAAAGCCCCGGGCUUAACCUGGGAACUGCAUUUGAAACUGGUCAACUAGAGUAUGGUAGAGGAAAGUGGAAUUUCUGGUGUAGCGGUGAAAUGCGUAGAUAUCAGAAGGAACAUCAAUGGCGAAGGCAGCUUUCUGGACCAAUACUGACGCUGAGGUACGAAAGCGUGGGUAGCAAACAGGAUUAGAUACCCUGGUAGUCCACGCCGUAAACGAUGAUAACUAGCCGUUGGGGGGAUUUACCCCUUAGUGGCGAAGCUAACGCGUUAAGUUAUCCGCCUGGGGAGUACAGCCGCAAGGUUAAAACUCAAAGGAAUUGACGGGGACCCGCACAAGCGGUGGAGCAUGUGGUUUAAUUCGAUGCAACGCGAAGAACCUUACCUGGUCUUGACAUCCUGCGAACUUUCUAGAAAUAGAUUGGUGCCUUCGGGAACGCAGUGACAGGUGCUGCAUGGCUGUCGUCAGCUCGUGUCGUGAGAUGUUGGGUUAAGUCCCGUAACGAGCGCAACCCCUAUCCUUAUUUGCCAGCACAUCAUGGUGGGAACUAUAAGGAGACUGCCGGUGAUAAACCGGAGGAAGGCGGGGACGACGUCAAGUCAUCAUGGCCCUUACGACCAGGGCUACACACGUGCUACAAUGGGAAGGACAAAGAGCCGCGAAGCCGCGAGGUGUAGCUAAUCUCAUAAACCUUUUCGUAGUCUGGAUUGGAGUCUGCAACUCGACUCCAUGAAGUCGGAAUCGCUAGUAAUCGUAGAUCAGAAUGCUACGGUGAAUACGUUCCCGGGUCUUGUACUCACCGCC
This 1373-nucleotide ribosomal RNA is filed under the name uncultured bacterium. RNAcentral describes it as "16S ribosomal RNA". It matches the Rfam family "Bacterial small subunit ribosomal RNA", at positions 30 to 1394 of the family's 1533-position model. The record is from RNAcentral.